Molecule: ribosomal RNA, 253 nt
Filed under: uncultured bacterium
Lineage: Bacteria
Description: partial 16S ribosomal RNA
Rfam family: Bacterial small subunit ribosomal RNA
Source: RNAcentral
UACAGAGGUGGCAAGCGUUGUUCGGAAUUACUGGGCGUAAAGGGCGCGUAGGCGGCCUUCUAAGUCGGACGUGAAAGCCCCAGGCUUAACCUGGGAACUGCGUCCGAUACUGGGAGGCUUGGAUUCGGGAGAGGGAUGUGGAAUUCCAGGUGUAGCGGUGAAAUGCGUAGAUAUCUGGAGGAACACCGGUGGCGAAGGCGGCAUCCUGGACCGACAUCGACGCUGAGGCGCGAAAGCUAGGGGAGCAAACGGG